This 500-nucleotide ribosomal RNA is filed under the name uncultured bacterium. RNAcentral's name for it is "partial 16S ribosomal RNA". It matches the Rfam family "Bacterial small subunit ribosomal RNA", at positions 30 to 523 of the family's 1533-position model. The record is from RNAcentral.
AUUGAACGCUGGCGGAAUGCUUUACACAUGCAAGUCGAACGGCAGCACGGACUUCGGUCUGGUGGCGAGUGGCGAACGGGUGAGUAAUACAUCGGAACGUGCCCAGUCGUGGGGGAUAACGUAGCGAAAGCUACGCUAAUACCGCAUACGAUCUACGGAUGAAAGCGGGGGAUCGCAAGACCUCGCGCGAUUGGAGCGGCCGAUGGCAGUUUAGGGAGUUGGUAGGGUAAAGGCCUACCAAGCCGACGAUCUGUAGCUGGUCUGAGAGGAUGAUCAGCCACAGUGGGGCUGGAACACGGCCCAGACUCGUACGGGAGGCAGCAGUGGGGAAUUUUGGACAAUGGACGCAAGUCUGAUCCAGCCAUUCCGCGUGCAGGAUGAAGGCCCUCGGGUUGUAAACUGCUUUUGUACAGAACGAAAAGGCUCUGGUUAAUACCUGGGGCUCAUGACGGUACUGUAAGAAUAAGCACCGGCUAACUACGUGCCAGCCGCCGCGGUAA